Molecule: long non-coding RNA, 986 nt
Filed under: Linum usitatissimum (flax)
Lineage: Eukaryota; Viridiplantae; Streptophyta; Magnoliopsida; Malpighiales; Linaceae
Description: long non-coding RNA (LUSI_LNC002160)
Source: RNAcentral
AAGGUCGGAGAUGGACUCGAUCUUCCGUGACUCGACGCCGAAAGCUCCGCUGUGGGAGGAAGUUUCCAGGUCAGCUCCAUUUUCUCUCUCUAGAUCUGCUCGCUUGAUUUUUUUUUCUCAAAGCUAAAUUCGAAUUCGAAUUCUCAGAAUCACUAAACACCCAACUCUACCCAUUUAGAUCUUUUUUCGAUUCGUGGCGAAAUGAUGAUCUUAUCUCUAAGCACAGAAAGAGAGGAGGAUCUCCCAAUCAUUUUCUUCUUCACUUCUCUCAAUCCAUCAAUUAAUUUUUUGCCAGUUCAUCUCUUUGCUGCUUUUCUCUCUCUUUAGUACUCUCAACCGCAAAACCAGCCGUCGGUGGAGCGAAAAUUACUUCCCUGAUAUCUUGGUUUUGAACGAUAAAAUUUUACGUAAAAUUUUCAAAAUUAAAAUUUUUGUUCAAUAUGUAUUUUCGAAUUUCGUCAAAUGCACUUUCAAAUUACUCGCUCUAAAUUUAAAAUUCUACCGGAUAUCCAAAACUAUCCUAGUUACGUUAUUGCUCGAAUAUCAAAAUUCCGUUCAGGGAAGAUUAGUGGAGAUGGUACUUGGUAGUGGAAACUGGCUGGAUAUAAUUUGAAUUUUUCUCAUUUAGAUUAAUGACAAUAAUUUUUUUUUAAAUUUUGAUGGGAUUCAUAAUAGAAAUAUACAUGUGACACCAACGCCAGCAUCUCCAGCUCAAUAACUAUUACUCAAGAAAUGAAAUCAUAAAAAUUAUCGGUGCAUGGGUGCUGGUAUGAUUACAUUGAGAGACGAAAAAAUUUAUUACUAUUGAUUUUUAAUCAAAUUUGAGACAGACAAAAUAGUAACAUGUAAUUUGUGGGAUAUAUUACAUUUUACAUGUCGAGGUGAUAUAUUAGUUGUCUACUGUUAUUAUUUAUUUGUACAUAAUAUAUGUAUUUUUUGUUGUUUAAUUCAGGAAAUUGGGUGAGCUGGGGUACAAAAGAAGCGCC